Molecule: ribosomal RNA, 484 nt
Filed under: uncultured bacterium
Lineage: Bacteria
Description: partial 16S ribosomal RNA
Rfam family: Bacterial small subunit ribosomal RNA
Source: RNAcentral
AUUGAACGCUGGCGGCAUGCUUUACACAUGCAAGUCGAACGGCAGCGCGGGCUUCUGCCUGGCGGCGAGUGGCGAACGGGUGAGUAAUGCAUCUGAACGUGCCCAGCAGUGGGGGAUAGCCCGGCGAAAGCCCGAUUAAUACCGCAUACUACCUGAGGGGUCAAGCGGGGGACCGAAAGGCCUCGCGCUAUUGGAGCGGCCGAUGCCGGAUUUGCUAGUUGGUGGGGUAAAGGCUUACCAAGGCGACGAUCCGUAGCUGGUCUGAGAGGACGACCAGCCACACUGGGACUGAGACACGGCCCAGACUCCUACGGGAGGCAGCAGUGGGGAAUUUUGGACAAUGGGGGCAAACCUGAUCCAGCCAUGCCGCGUGCGGGAAGAAGGCCUUCGGGUUGUAAAGCGCUUUUGUUCGGGAAGAAAUCCUCUGGGCUAAUACCCCGGGGGGAUGACGGUACCGGAAGAAUAAGCACCGGCUAACUACGUG